This 1371-nucleotide ribosomal RNA is filed under the name uncultured bacterium. RNAcentral describes it as "bacterial SSU rRNA". It matches the Rfam family "Bacterial small subunit ribosomal RNA", at positions 28 to 1381 of the family's 1533-position model. The record is from RNAcentral.
GAUGAACGCUGGCGGCGUGCCUAAUACAUGCAAGUCGAGCGAACGGACGAGAAGCUUGCUUCUCUGAUGUUAGCGGCGGACGGGUGAGUAACACGUGGAUAACCUACCUAUAAGACUGGGAUAACUUCGGGAAACCGGAGCUAAUACCGGAUAAUAUUUUGAACCGCAUGGUUCAAAAGUGAAAGACGGUCUUGCUGUCACUUAUAGAUGGAUCCGCGCUGCAUUAGCUAGUUGGUAAGGUAACGGCUUACCAAGGCAACGAUGCAUAGCCGACCUGAGAGGGUGAUCGGCCACACUGGAACUGAGACACGGUCCAGACUCCUACGGGAGGCAGCAGUAGGGAAUCUUCCGCAAUGGGCGAAAGCCUGACGGAGCAACGCCGCGUGAGUGAUGAAGGUCUUCGGAUCGUAAAACUCUGUUAUUAGGGAAGAACAUAUGUGUAAGUAACUGUGCACAUCUUGACGGUACCUAAUCAGAAAGCCACGGCUAACUACGUGCCAGCAGCCGCGGUAAUACGUAGGCGGCAAGCGUUAUCCGGAAUUAUUGGGCGUAAAGCGCGCGUAGGCGGUUUUUUAGUCUGAUGUGAAAGCCCACGGCUCAACCGUGGAGGGUCAUUGGAAACUGGAAAACUUGAGUGCAGAAGAGGAAAGUGGAAUUCCAUGUGUAGCGGUGAAAUGCGCAGAGAUAUGGAGGAACACCAGUGGCGAAGGCGACUUUCUGGUCUGUAACUGACGCUGAUGUGCGAAAGCGUGGGGAUCAAACAGGAUUAGAUACCCUGGUAGUCCACGCCGUAAACGAUGAGUGCUAAGUGUUAGGGGGUUUCCGCCCCUUAGUGCUGCAGCUAACGCAUUAAGCACUCCGCCUGGGGAGUACGACCGCAAGGUUGAAACUCAAAGGAAUUGACGGGGACCCGCACAAGCGGUGGAGCAUGUGGUUUAAUUCGAAGCAACGCGAAGAACCUUACCAAAUCUUGACAUCCUUUGACAACUCUAGAGAUAGAGCUUUCCCCUUCGGGGGACAAAGUGACAGGUGGUGCAUGGUUGUCGUCAGCUCGUGUCGUGAGAUGUUGGGUUAAGUCCCGCAACGAGCGCAACCCUUAAGCUUAGUUGCCAUCAUUAAGUUGGGCACUCUAAGUUGACUGCCGGUGACAAACCGGAGGAAGGUGGGGAUGACGUCAAAUCAUCAUGCCCCUUAUGAUUUGGGCUACACACGUGCUACAAUGGACAAUACAAAGGGCAGCGAAACCGUGAGGUCAAGCAAAUCCCAUAAAGUUGUUCUCAGUUCGGAUUGUAGUCUGCAACUCGACUACAUGAAGCUGGAAUCGCUAGUAAUCGUAGAUCAGCAUGCUACGGUGAAUACGUUCCCGGGUCU